RNAcentral lists this ribosomal RNA (799 nucleotides) under uncultured bacterium. RNAcentral describes it as "bacterial SSU rRNA". It matches the Rfam family "Bacterial small subunit ribosomal RNA", at positions 8 to 798 of the family's 1533-position model. The record is from RNAcentral.
AGAGUUUGAUCAUGGCUCAGGAUGAACGCUAGCGGCAGGCUUAAUACAUGCAAGUCGAGGGGCAGCAUGAUUGUAGCAAUACAAUUGAUGGCGACCGGCAAACGGGUGCGGAACACGUACACAACCUUCCAACAAGUGGGGGAUAGCCCAGAGAAAUUUGGAUUAAUACCCCGUAACAUAGCGAUGUGGCAUCACAUUGCUAUUAUAGAUUUUUCGCUUGUUGAUGGGUGUGCGGCUGAUUAGAUAGUUGGCGGGGUAACGGCCCACCAAGUCUACGAUCAGUAGCUGAUGUGAGAGCAUGAUCAGCCACACGGGCACUGAGACACGGGCCCGACUCCUACGGGAGGCAGCAGUAAGGAAUAUUGGACAAUGGACGCAAGUCUGAUCCAGCCAUGCCGCGUGAAGGAUUAAGGUCCUCUGGAUUGUAAACUUCUUUUAUAAGGGACGAAAAAAGGCUUUUCUAAGUCGUCUGACGGUACCUUAUGAAUAAGCACCGGCUAACUCCGUGCCAGCAGCCGCGGUAAUACGGAGGGUGCAAGCGUUAUCCGGAUUCACUGGGUUUAAAGGGUGCGUAGGCGGGCAGGUAAGUCAGUGGUGAAAUCCUAGAGCUUAACUCUAGAACUGCCAUUGAUACUAUCUGUCUUGAAUAUUGUGGAGGUAAGCGGAAUACGUCAUGUAGCGGUGAAAUGCUUAGAUAUGACAUAGAACACCUAUUGCGAAGGCAGCUUACUACGCAUAUAUUGACGCUGAGGCACGAAAGCGUGGGGAUCAAACAGGAUUAGAUACCCCGGUAGUCCAA